Molecule: ribosomal RNA, 253 nt
Filed under: uncultured bacterium
Lineage: Bacteria
Description: partial 16S ribosomal RNA
Rfam family: Bacterial small subunit ribosomal RNA
Source: RNAcentral
UACGGAGGGUGCAAGCGUUAUCCGGAUUCACUGGGUUUAAAGGGUGCGUAGGUGGGUCUGUAAGUCAGUGGUGAAAUCUCCAAGCUUAACUUGGAAACUGCCGUUGAUACUAUAAAUCUUGAAUGUUGUGGAGGUGAGCGGAAUAUGUCAUGUAGCGGUGAAAUGCUUAGAUAUGACAUAGAACACCAAUUGCGAAGGCAGCUCACUACACAAAGAUUGACACUGAGGCACGAAAGCGUGGGGAUCAAACAGG